UCCACGCCCUAAACGAUGAACACUAGUCGUCGGAAUGCUAGCCAUUUCGGUGAUGCGCUUAACAGAUUAAGUGUUCCGCCUGGGGAGUACGGUCGCAAGAUUAAAACUCAAAGGAAUAGACGGGGACCCGCGGUCUUGUACUCACCGCCCGUCACACCAUGGGAGUUGAUUUCACCCGAAAUUGGGAAGCUAACCUUCGGGGGCGUACCACUUACGGUGGAAUUAGCGACUGGGGUGAAGUCGUAACAAGG
This 251-nucleotide ribosomal RNA is filed under the name uncultured bacterium. Its description in RNAcentral is "partial 16S ribosomal RNA". It matches the Rfam family "Bacterial small subunit ribosomal RNA", at positions 794 to 1496 of the family's 1533-position model. The record is from RNAcentral.